This 468-nucleotide ribosomal RNA is filed under the name uncultured bacterium. Its description in RNAcentral is "partial 16S ribosomal RNA". It matches the Rfam family "Bacterial small subunit ribosomal RNA", at positions 28 to 507 of the family's 1533-position model. The record is from RNAcentral.
GACGAACGCUGGCGGCGUGCUUAACACAUGCAAGUCGAACGGAAAGGCCCUGCUUUUGUGGGGUGCUCGAGUGGCGAACGGGUGAGUAACACGUGAGUAACCUGCCCUUGACUUUGGUAUAACUUCAGGAAACUGGGGCUAAUACCGGAUAGGAGCUCCUGCUGCAUGGUGGGGUUUGGAAAGUUUCGGCGGUUGGGGAUGGACUCGCGGCUUAUCAGCUUGUUGGUGGGGUAGUGGCUUACCAAGGCCUUGACGGGUAGCCGGCCUGAGAGGGUGACCGGCCACAUUGGGACUGAGAUACGGCCCAGACUCCUACGGGAGGCAGCAGUGGGGAAUAUUGCACAAUGGGCGGAAGCCUGAUGCAGCAACGCCGCGUGCGGGAUGACGGCCUUCGGGUUGUAAACCGCUUUCGCCUGGGACGAAGCGUGAGUGACGGUAAUGGGUAAAGAAGCACCGGCUAACUACGUG